UACAUUAGCCAUAUCACUCUGCAAGUCACAACUGGCAACCCACUGAAGCUAAGCAGGUGUGAGCCUGGUCAGUACCUGGAUGUGAGACCUCCUGGGAAAAACGAAGGUUGCUGCUGAAA
RNAcentral lists this ribosomal RNA (119 nucleotides) under Lepisosteus oculatus (spotted gar). Lineage: Eukaryota; Metazoa; Chordata; Actinopteri; Semionotiformes; Lepisosteidae. The record is from RNAcentral.